Long non-coding RNA from Peromyscus maniculatus bairdii (prairie deer mouse), 563 nucleotides. RefSeq lists it as uncharacterized. The record is from RefSeq and is a predicted model, not a curated record. Lineage: Eukaryota; Metazoa; Chordata; Mammalia; Rodentia; Cricetidae.
GUCAGCCAUCCGUAGUGCUGGCAGCGAGGCGUUUUAGCCCACGCACCCAUCCAUUUGAAGCGAUUGGAGUUUAUUUUUAACUGGCAUAAGGGUUUCAUGUAACCCCAGCUGACCUCAAUCUCACCAUGAAGCCAAGGAUGACCUUGAACUUCUGGUCCUCCUGCCUCCACCACCUGGGAACUGAGGUGAUAGGUGUGUACUGCCACAUUUGGUUUAUGUAGUACUGGGGAUCAAACUUGAGGCUUUGUGCAUGCCCUGUGAACACAAGACCAAUGGAGCCACAUCCCGGGUCUCAAGCAAUCUCUUCUGCAAGGAAGACUGGCAGCAAUCCAAACUGUUGAGGUGCACGGUGUAGCGCACGUUGGUUGAAGAAAGAAGGCACUCCAAGAAGAAAUUUUAAGGUCUAUGUGGCAGCAGAAAAGUCCAGAUUCUCUGAUGGACUGAACCCAGAACAGCCAUACAAAGGCAGGUUUAUUGGUUGUCACACACAGCAUUUCCUCAGACCAAGGUCCCUAAUCUAAUUUACAUGUCUUACUAAAGAAGACCAUCACCUGCUUCCAUGA